GCGAUAGCCGUGCCGGGUGCGGCGGUGAUACUGGGGGUGUAAGCGUUAUCCGGAGUUACUGGGUUUAAAGGGUGCGUAGGCGGCUCUUUAAGUCAGUGGUGAAAGCCUAGUGCUUAACACUAGAAUUGCCAUUGAAACUGAAGAGCUUGAGUCAAGGAGAGGUAAGCAGAAUUUAUGGUGUAGCAGUGAAAUGCUUAGAUACCAUAAGGAAUACCAAUAGCGAAGGCAGCUUACUGGCCUUGCACUGACGCUGAGGCACGAAAGCGUGGGGAGCAAACAGGAUUAGAUACCCCAGUAGUC
Molecule: ribosomal RNA, 300 nt
Filed under: uncultured Lactobacillus sp.
Lineage: Bacteria; Bacillati; Bacillota; Bacilli; Lactobacillales; Lactobacillaceae
Description: bacterial SSU rRNA
Rfam family: Bacterial small subunit ribosomal RNA
Source: RNAcentral